Molecule: long non-coding RNA, 353 nt
Organism: Cyprinus carpio (common carp)
Lineage: Eukaryota; Metazoa; Chordata; Actinopteri; Cypriniformes; Cyprinidae
Exons: 3
Source: RefSeq, a predicted model, not a curated record
GAUGGUAGCUCUCCAGGAGCAGGGUUGGAGAUCCCUGGUUUAGACCCUCAAGUAAGCCAGGGCUCUCGCUCAAGCAUCUGGUCACUCAUGGCAACUCCACGACCACUACAGCUAUGCCAUCUAACCAGACACGGUUUGGAGAAAUGUAGCAUUGCAUCAGUUGCUCAGCAAUGGAUGCUCUGCAGUGAAUGGGUGCCGUCAGACUGAGAGUGCAAACAGCUGAUAAAAACAUCACAGUAAUCCACAUCACUCCAGCCCAUUAAUUAAUCGAGUCUAAUAUCCAUAUAAUUGCUUUCUCCAGUGAAAAACCAGUCUGAUCUGAAUCCGGAGAGAAAUAUACACAGAUCAAGCAC